Gorilla gorilla gorilla (western lowland gorilla) is the source of this 1056-nucleotide long non-coding RNA. RefSeq lists it as uncharacterized. The record is from RefSeq and is a predicted model, not a curated record. Lineage: Eukaryota; Metazoa; Chordata; Mammalia; Primates; Hominidae. The transcript is spliced from 3 exons.
CUCUGGUUCAAAUGCCUCUGACGGUGGCAGAAUAAAUAAGAUAAAGAAAUUGGGUACCAAACUAAGACUUCCAGAACACAAAAGCCAACAGCCAAUAUUUAGUUUUUAGAUCCUCGCUCCAGUAUUGGACCCUAUUGUCUACUCCCUCCUUCAUGGAAAAGAGAUGAAAAGUUCAGAAAGGCAAAUGAGGCAAAAAGAGAAGAGGCAAAGAGGAAAACCAGUGCAGAAUAGUUUAUGAAAAGGGCAUAAAGUUAAAGGUUUCAUGGAUUGAGCAUUUUGUAUGUGUGUGUGAAAUACACACUGGAAGUACAACUGUUUACAACUGUGUGCUUAGGGUGGGUGGGAAGAAGAGAUGAAAGUUUGAAGAGAGCAACUGAAGGGCUCUGAAAGGGAAUACGACAAGGGUUGUGGAUUUUUAGGGUAUUGAAACAGCCUUUACAAAAGUUAUAUCAGUGAGAAAAUUAUAACUGUAAGCUAAGCUAACCCACCCUCCAUCUUGCCUUUUCCUUAACUCUUCCUGGGCUACAGGGCCAACGUAACUUUGGAAGACAUUUAGGCUUCAUUUUAAAUGAUAAUAGGCCUUGCCCAAAACUUGACUGCUUUUGUAAAACUAAUAGGAGGCCUCCAGGCUGAGGGAAGGAGAGGAGCCUGGGUCCUGCUAAAGUGCAGAAAUUAUUCAGAGGUUAUAAGAUAUACAACUUCCUUCAAUUACUCCUGCAAAUAACACCGCUAUUGUAGACUGGCCUUUUGAGAUCUCUUUCCAGGUUUUUUUGCAUGUCUGACCCCUACGACUCCACCUGGACCCAAUGGCUGCAUCUGGACCGACAACCCCACUCCUGUGGCCUCACCCAGAAGCAAUUCAGCCUGCAGUAGGACAGCAUCAACCCCCUAUGAUUCCAUCUCUGCCCCAAUCAAUCAGCACUUGUGUGACUCCCAUCCAUUGUGUGAGGAUUUUACUAGUGUGACUCUCAGAGGACCCAUAAGGUUCAAGCAAUUCACCUGCCUCAGCCUCCCGAGCAGCUGGGACUAUACGCACGCGCCACCACGCCUGGCGGG